RNAcentral lists this long non-coding RNA (567 nucleotides) under Homo sapiens (human). RNAcentral describes it as "novel transcript, antisense to OSBPL1A". The record is from RNAcentral. Lineage: Eukaryota; Metazoa; Chordata; Mammalia; Primates; Hominidae.
CGAGGUGGGUGGCCUAGGAGUUGGAGACCAGCCUGGGCAACAUGGAGAAACCCCGUCUCUACUAAAAAUACAAGAAAUUAGCCAGGUGUGGAGGCACGUGCCUAUAGCUCCAGUAUUUGGGGGACUGAGGCAGGAGGAUCACUUGAACCUGGGAGGUCAAGGCUGCAGUGAGCCGAGAUUACGCCACUGCACUCCAGCCUGGGUGACAAAGUGAGGCCUUGUCUUGAUUAAAAAAAAAAAAAAAAAAAUCCAUACACCUUCACUCUACUUUAGAAGCAGUCAUAUUGAAAAAAGGAGAAUGAUCUCUGAAUGAAAUACCACAUUUCCUCCUUUAUCAAUUUAAUAAGUUUUGAGGAAAAAAGAUGCCAUUAUUUAAAUGUACAGAUGAAUUGUAAGAUGCAAGCAAAUUUCAGAACUAUCAGAAUGUGAGAAGUUAUUCAUCAUAGAAUUAAGAAAUAUGAGCUCUCAAUUCUCUUUAAAUACAGUGCUAAGAGAUUGUGACAUUGUUUUUUCUUUUUAAUUUUUAUUUGUGUAUUGACAUUAUUUUUUAAUUAUUUAGGGUGUGCU